This 483-nucleotide ribosomal RNA is filed under the name uncultured bacterium. RNAcentral describes it as "partial 16S ribosomal RNA". It matches the Rfam family "Bacterial small subunit ribosomal RNA", at positions 39 to 507 of the family's 1533-position model. The record is from RNAcentral.
GGGGGGGGGGGGGGGGGGGGGGAGGGGGUGCGGGGCGGGGGCUGGGGCGGGGCUUGUGUGGGGUGGAUGAGUGGCGAGCGGGUGAGUAACACGUGAGUAACCUGCGCCCUGCUUUGGGAUAACGCCCGGAGACGGGUGCUAAUACUGGAUAUUCACUGGUCUUCGCAUGGGGGCUGGGGGGAAGGGGUUUUCUGGUGUGGGAUGGGCUCGCGGCCUAUCAGCUUGUUGGUGGGGUGAUGGCCGACCAAGGCUUUGACGGGUAGGCGGCCUGAGAGGGUGACCGGUCACAUUGGGACUGAGAUACGGCCCAGACUCCUACGGGAGGCAGCAGUGGGGAAUAUUGCGCAAUGGGAGCAAGCCUGAUGCAGCGACGCCGCGUGAGGGAUGGAGGCCUUCGGGUUGUGAACCUCUUUCGCUCAUGGUCAAGCCGCAACAAUGGUUGUGGUGAGGGUAGUGGGUAAAGAAGCGCCGGCUAACUACGUG